UCCCCAUGAAGAAAUAUUCACAUGUCCUACUUCCUGUCCUAGCUCCAGAGCCUGACAAGGUGUUUGUCUCUCUAUAACAGGAAAGAUAGUCAUUGACGGGAU
Small nucleolar RNA from Arvicanthis niloticus (Nile rat), 102 nucleotides. RefSeq annotates it as small nucleolar RNA SNORD22. The record is from RefSeq and is a predicted model, not a curated record. Lineage: Eukaryota; Metazoa; Chordata; Mammalia; Rodentia; Muridae.